GGGAUAACACUUGGAAACAGGUGCUAAUACCGCAUAACCAUAGUUACCGCAUGGUAACUAUGUAAAAGGUGGCUAUGCUACCGCUUUUGGAUGGGCCCGCGACGCAUUAGCUAGUUGGUGGGGUAAAGGCUUACCAAGGCAAUGAUGCGUAGCCGAACUGAGAGGUUGAUCGGCCACAUUGGGACUGAGACACGGCCCAAACUCCUACGGGAGGCAGCAGUAGGGAAUCUUCCACAAUGGGCGAAAGCCUGAUGGAGCAACGCCGCGUGGGUGAAGAAGGUCUUCGGAUCGUAAAACCCUGUUGUUAGAGAAGAAAGUGCGUGAGAGUAACUGUUCACGUUUCGACGGUAUCUAACCAGAAAGCCACGGCUAACUACGUGCCAGCAGCCGCGGUAAUACGUAGGUGGCAAGCGUUAUCCGGAUUUAUUGGGCGUAAAGAGAACGCAGGCGGUCUUUUAAGUCUGAUGUGAAAGCCUUCGGCUUAACCGGAGUAGUGCAUUGGAAACUGGGAGACUUGAGUGCAGAAGAGGAGAGUGGAACUCCAUGUGUAGCGGUGAAAUGCGUAGAUAUACGGAAGAACACCAGUGGCGAAAGCGGCUCUCUGGUCUGUAACUGACGCUGAGGUUCGAAAGCGUGGGUAGCAAACAGGAUUAGAUACCCUGGUAGUCCACGCCGUAAAC
Molecule: ribosomal RNA, 680 nt
Filed under: uncultured bacterium
Lineage: Bacteria
Description: bacterial SSU rRNA
Rfam family: Bacterial small subunit ribosomal RNA
Source: RNAcentral